UACGUAGGGUGCAAGCGUUAAUCGGAAUUACUGGGCGUAAAGCGUGCGCAGGCGGUCCUGCAAGACAGAUGUGAAAUCCCCGGGCUCAACCUGGGAACUGCAUUUGUGACUGCAGGGCUGGAGUACGGUAGAGGGGGAUGGAAUUCCGCGUGUAGCAGUGAAAUGCGUAGAUAUGCGGAGGAACACCGAUGGCGAAGGCAAUCCCCUGGACCUGUACUGACGCUCAUGCACGAAAGCGUGGGGAGCAAACAGG
This 253-nucleotide ribosomal RNA is filed under the name uncultured bacterium. RNAcentral describes it as "partial 16S ribosomal RNA". It matches the Rfam family "Bacterial small subunit ribosomal RNA", at positions 524 to 776 of the family's 1533-position model. The record is from RNAcentral.